UGGGGUGUUCAGAAUCUGACUCUGGAUCAGGAGGUUUGAGGUUCGAGUCCUCACUCCCCAGCCA
This 64-nucleotide transfer RNA is filed under the name Candidatus Omnitrophota bacterium. Its description in RNAcentral is "Candidatus Omnitrophica bacterium tRNA-Ser". Lineage: Bacteria; Pseudomonadati; Candidatus Omnitrophota. The record is from RNAcentral.